RNAcentral lists this ribosomal RNA (253 nucleotides) under uncultured bacterium. RNAcentral's name for it is "partial 16S ribosomal RNA". It matches the Rfam family "Bacterial small subunit ribosomal RNA", at positions 524 to 776 of the family's 1533-position model. The record is from RNAcentral.
UACGUAGGUGGCAAGCGUUAUCCGGAUUUAUUGGGCGUAAAGAGAACGCAGGCGGUCUUUUAAGUCUGAUGUGAAAGCCUCCGGCUUAACCGGAGUAGUGCAUUGGAAACUGGGAGACUUGAGUGCAGAAGAGGAGAGUGGAACUCCAUGUGUAGCGGUGAAAUGCGUAGAUAUAUGGAAGAACACCAGUGGCGAAAGCGGCUCUCUGGUCUGUAACUGACGCUGAGGUUCGAAAGCGUGGGUAGCAAACAGG